AAUUUAAAUACGGGUUUCCAGAUACAAAUUUAACGUGAUGGUGAGCGGGAUGUUACAUUCCCACCACCUUAAAAAAUUUGGUCCCCCAAAUUUUUUUCGAAUAAGUCUGGGAACUUUUCUCUCAUCUCACUCUCUAACUCCCAUGUCACCUCUUCUGGAGUGUGGUGUUGCCACUGCACCUUCACCAUGGGGACCCUCUUGUUGUAUAAGAUUUUUUCGGUCCAAUUAAGAAUUUUUCCGAGGAGUUUUUCGUACGUCAUUUUAGUUUGUACACACGUUUCAUCAUGAGUAAUGAUAUGAUAAGGGUCAGGGUGGUACCUUUUGAGCAUAGAGACGUGAAAAAUAUCAUAUAGACUCGUAAACUCUUGAGGCAGAGUAAGGUGGUAUGCCAUGGGUCCAAUACACUCCACGAUCCAAAAAGGUCCCAAUAAUGGGGCUCAACUUCCCUUUUUUCCCGGACAACAUGUUUCCCUUGUAGAGGAAAAUCUUAAUGAAGACUUGGUCUCCAACAACGAAUUCCAGAAGUCUUCUUUUAUUAUCAAUGUAACUCUUCUGGCAACUCUGGGUGGUAGCCAAGUUUCUAUAGAUGAUUGCAAUAUUCUCAAUAGUCUCUUGGAUG
This 619-nucleotide long non-coding RNA is filed under the name Carica papaya (papaya). RNAcentral's name for it is "long non-coding RNA (CPAP_LNC009871)". The record is from RNAcentral. Lineage: Eukaryota; Viridiplantae; Streptophyta; Magnoliopsida; Brassicales; Caricaceae.